RNAcentral lists this long non-coding RNA (391 nucleotides) under Monodelphis domestica (gray short-tailed opossum). RNAcentral describes it as "lncRNA (ENSMODG00000041542.1)". The record is from RNAcentral. Lineage: Eukaryota; Metazoa; Chordata; Mammalia; Didelphimorphia; Didelphidae.
CACCAGCCAUGCAGAAGAGACAAAUUCCAGAACACUCUAACUGAGAUGGGGAAGUAUCAGAAGGAUCUGCUUACUUCUCUCUGCAUCAGUUCAUAUAAGUCUUCAAAUGGUCUUUCUUUACUUCUCAACAAUUUGCUUUGCUUUGCCUGAGAAAACUCUACAGAUGAGAAUUGAAAUCAUCCCCAAGAAAGAGGAUGACAAGACUAAAGACUUAGGCAAAUGACAUCACUUCCUGGUCACCUGUAUAAAAAACAGGUACCAGGAGGAUCAAGUACCCACAGAUGCUUGGCUGUUGGACCACCAUGGACAACUUAGAGCCAAAGGAGCUUUACUCAACUGAAUUAACUCAUGGUGUCCUCAAUACCCAACCUUAUUGAAGAGCCUCCUGCAC